This is a non-coding RNA of Photobacterium iliopiscarium, 201 nucleotides long. Lineage: Bacteria; Pseudomonadati; Pseudomonadota; Gammaproteobacteria; Vibrionales; Vibrionaceae. The record is from Rfam.
ACCCUAUUAUUCGUUCCGUAAUGUUGAUGAACAUUUUGUGUUUUGCCCUCUGGCUAACCGCUGAAUUGACAUUGCGAUGUUGUGUUUGCAUAUUGUCCGGAUCCUGCCGGAUAGGUAGUUAUCUACCUCUUUACUUCCUGUAUUUUGACUUAUUUGUCAAAGUAAUUGUUAGCACUGCGCCCCAACGCAGUGCUAUUUUUU